RNAcentral lists this transfer RNA (93 nucleotides) under Neurospora crassa. RNAcentral describes it as "tRNA-Glu". It matches the Rfam family "tRNA". From Rfam's summary of the family: Transfer RNA (tRNA) molecules are approximately 80 nucleotides in length. Their secondary structure includes four short double-helical elements and three loops (D, anti-codon, and T loops). The record is from RNAcentral. RNAcentral also lists the same sequence under 2 other names. Lineage: Eukaryota; Fungi; Ascomycota; Sordariomycetes; Sordariales; Sordariaceae.
UCGGGUAUGGUGUAGCGGUAACAUCGUUGACUCUCACUUCUUCAGGAGUGACUGCUUUCUCAACAGCCCCGGGUUCGACUCCCGGUAUCCGAG